GACUUUCUAGUGUCUAGGUCAAGGUCAUAGAAGCACGUGUUCGACCAUUAUGGCUGCCAAAAGGGAAGCCGGUUCCUUCAACACAAAAUGAAGGCUCCUGGCAGUGAGGGACACCACAGGGUGGCAGGAAUGUCUGUGAGAUCUUCUGGGCCUGGUGGCCAAAGACUGACACUGUUCUGGGACUUCUGGCCCCAGAGAUCACAGAGGAACCUAGGGUGAUUGUCCAGAUGGUCUUGCAGAGUCUGGACAGUGAGUGAAACAGCCUGCUCUUCCAGGACUUGGCCAGCAUCCCAGCUUUCUUGGAUCCCCAAAGACAUCGACAACCGACAACCCCAGACAACAGAAAGCGGUUUGAAGAGCAUGGUGUUCCCACUCUCCCCUACCAGUCACCCCUACCUAUUUCCUUACCUUCAUAAUAAACAAAAAGGAGGAAUGUCAGAAACCAGGUGAUCCCCGAGCUCAACAGCUCAGUUUAGAGACAGUGACUCUUGAGCCCAGGAUUGUGAGGGUAAUGGUGACUAUAUUUGUAAGAAAUAAAAUCAGGUGUUCAGUUCCUAACCUAUCAAAGCAAAACUUGUUCAUGACUUGGUGUUCUCCAUGUAGCCUCCCAAGGUGUGUGUGUGGGGGUGGGGAGCAUCCAUAUGAUAGUCAUGGUACUACAGGGCUAGAGAUGUUUCAGUGACUAAGUUUUCUAUGGCAGUGGAAAUCCUCAAAGCUCUAGCCUUUAGUGACCCACAGCCUUCCUAGCCAGGCGCUCAUGAGUCUCUUGAGGCUGUAGGGGAAGUUUAACUGCAGAAAAAGCAGAGGCCUCAGGGUUCAAUCCUACAGGCUUUGAAAAAUAAUUCCAGGAAGACUAUUUGCUAUGACAAGUCCUUUCUAGACCUUCGCCUGAAAAUCUGUAGCACAAAGGUGUGAAAUUUUGUCUCUAUUUAGGGUGCCUCUGUUCCCAAAUGCUCAGCUGUUCUCCCUGAGCUGGGAGAGGGGCCGUCUUCACACAGCCCUAACUAAUGUGUUCCUUCCUUCUCAUCACCUCCCUGUCACCUGUGUGUGUGUGUGUGUGUGUGUGUGUGUGUGUGUGUGUGUGUGUGUGUGUGUGUGUAUGUGUAUGUGUAUGUGUGUGUGAGAUGCAGUAACUUCAGACUGGGAGAUGGCUCCCUUAAUAAGGGGCUUAUCUUGCAAGCAUGAAGACCUGAGCUCUUCCAUCACCCCUAGAACCCAUGUAAAAAUCCAGGCAGUAAUCCUAGCACUAGGAAAGCAGAGGCAGAAAGAUCCCUGGGAUCCACUAGCCAGCCAGUCUAGUCUACUUGCUCCAGGACCAAUGAGAGGUG
Molecule: long non-coding RNA, 1328 nt
Filed under: Cricetulus griseus (Chinese hamster)
Lineage: Eukaryota; Metazoa; Chordata; Mammalia; Rodentia; Cricetidae
Description: lncRNA (ENSCGRG00015041274.1)
Source: RNAcentral